RNAcentral lists this ribosomal RNA (98 nucleotides) under Pogona vitticeps (central bearded dragon). Lineage: Eukaryota; Metazoa; Chordata; Lepidosauria; Squamata; Agamidae. The record is from RNAcentral.
ACCACCUCUGAACACACCUGAUCCUUUCUGUUUUUGGAAGCUAAAGAGAGGCAGAUCUAGUUUGUACUUAGAUGGGAGACCACCAAGGAUCUCCAGGC